Molecule: long non-coding RNA, 861 nt
Filed under: Anser brachyrhynchus (Pink-footed goose)
Lineage: Eukaryota; Metazoa; Chordata; Aves; Anseriformes; Anatidae
Description: lncRNA (ENSABRG00000021111.1)
Source: RNAcentral
CUUUAUUUGGACAGAGGAAAUGAUACAGAUUUUGUAUACUUUGACCUCAGUUAAGAUUUUGAAAGGAAAAAAACAACGAUUUUGAGAAAGAUAUGAAAAAAAUUAAAUUCAGCAGAAACAAGUGAGAAGAAAUCCCAUGCAGGAAUAAUCAACAGCAUAAGGAUGGUAUCAGUGGAAGUGGGUCUCUAGCAGUUAUGCAGAAAAACAGAUAGGAGGUUACAGAGGAUGAUGAAACACUGUGAAACAGCAGUGUUAGGAUACUGUGAAAAGAGAUAAACAUCAACCUGGGAAGUAUAAACAGACAUUAACUAACUGCUAUGUAGUACACAGUAAGGGAAGACUGGAGCACUGUGUUCUGUUAGAAAAGAUACGUUUUCAAAAAACAUGUAAAGCAAUUAAUGGAAGCUCAGAUGAUAAAAAUGGAAAGAAGCUAACAUGUGGUAUAUGUAAUCUGAAAAGGUUGAGCAAAUUGGGAUAUCCUAGCUUAAAGAAGAGGAUGCUGAAGAGGAAGAUGACAGCCUUCAUGAAAUAGAUAUUUCCCAGAUGGGCAAGCUACUGAAGAGAUACUGAAGAUAUUAAAAAUCAGAUAUUUGAAUGAAACCUUAGAAAUCAGAACUGGAAGGAUUCUAGAGAGACUAUACUAUUCAUUCCCAUGUGCAUGUUUCAAGUCAAUGCUGUGAAUAAUUCUGAUAAAUUAAGUGAAAUUUCUCAUGAAAGUGCCAGAUCCACACUGAACCAACCUGAAAGUGGAAAUGAGCAGUGUGAUGACUUGAACCUGGAAGCUGCGGUCAUAGCUUGGACCAAGAGAAGUCAAGGAAGAGCAAGGCGGAGGUCAGAAUUUGAAACGACUGUCUUUCAUGA